This 1112-nucleotide long non-coding RNA is filed under the name Mus caroli (Ryukyu mouse). RNAcentral describes it as "lncRNA (MGP_CAROLIEiJ_G0006728.1)". Lineage: Eukaryota; Metazoa; Chordata; Mammalia; Rodentia; Muridae. The record is from RNAcentral.
UCCCCUCCAUCCUCUUCCUUCUCCUCCUCCUCUUCUUUAAAACCACAUCCAGUCCAGUGAGUGUUGCCUGAACACACAUGGGUAUUGAGCCAUCCCAGGGGCUUGGGCAGCCUACCAGCAGCCAUCCAUACCUUUGGAGAAGCUUGGCUGUCCUUCCUUGGAAGCAUCCAUUGGCCUAUGACCUCCGGACCCACAACUUUUGACUAGGUGCAUGGUCCUAGACUUGCCUUCUCUCCUAUGAAGCAGACCUCAGAUCCCGUCAGAAAACAGGUGGCUCCCACAACCACCAUGCCUCUAUGGCACUGGUAGCAGGGCUUGCUUUGGCUUAGUUCCUUAACUUCCAGCUACCUUGAGAUCUUCUAGGCAGCUCCCCUGCAGCCAGAGAACCAGCUAUUCAGCUGCGUGUGACAGAUGACAAUGUCCCUACCCCUACCUGCCUGCCCACCCAGAACUCUGACCUGGUGUCAGCCUCUUGUGCUAAAAGGAGGCAUCUACAGCUGCUGGCCAAGGGCAGAAUCUGAACAGCUCCGGUUAUGUAACAUGUAUAUCACUGGGAUGUGUACCGAGAGUCCACCUGAUGGGACUCAGACUCACCAUGGAAACCUGGGUAUGGGACUCAGAGUCACCAUGGAAACCAGCCUCUGGGUAUGCCUGUCAGGAAGCUUCUAGAGUGUGUUCACAGAAGUGGGAAGAGCCACCCUGCGUGUUGGCAGUGCCAUCUCUUCGUGAUCUGGAGUCCCGGACAGAAUGAAAAGGAGCAAGCAAGCUGAGUACCAGCAGUCUCCUCUCUCUGCUUCCUGACAGUGGGUGCCAUGUGACCAGCUGUCUCAUGUUCCUGCCACUGUGCCUCCCCGCCAUGACGGACUGUGCACCCUCACACUGUGAGCCAACGCGAACCCUUCCUUCUUUAAGGUGCUUUUUGUUACAGCGGUGAGAUGAUGGCUAAUAUGCUAAGACACACAUGCACAGUGUGCAGGGCUCACGUGGACGACACAAUCCCUGCCACAUCUCACUUGACUAGCUCUCAGCAUCUGCUUCAGCCGCUCUUCUAGGAAACCACUCUUAUUCUUCUGGACUCUCUUUUGCUCAUAAAUUAAAAUGCAAAUUCUAUC